CAGCCGCCGCGGUAAUACGAAGGGGGCUAGCGUUGCUCGGAAUUACUGGGCGUAAAGGGCGCGUAGGCGGAUAGUUUAGUCAGAGGUAAAAGCCCAGGGCUCAACCUUGGAACUGCCUUUGAUACUGGCUAUCUUGAGUUCGGGAGAGGUGAGUGGAAUGCCGAGUGUAGAGGUGAAAUUCGUAGAUAUUCGGCGGAACACCAGUGGCGAAGGCGACUCACUGGCCCGAUACUGACGCUGAGGCGCGAAAGCGUGGGGAGCAAACAGGAUUAGAUACCCCGGUAGUCCCUGUCUCUUAUAC
This 301-nucleotide ribosomal RNA is filed under the name uncultured bacterium. RNAcentral's name for it is "partial 16S ribosomal RNA". It matches the Rfam family "Bacterial small subunit ribosomal RNA", at positions 509 to 807 of the family's 1533-position model. The record is from RNAcentral.